This 254-nucleotide ribosomal RNA is filed under the name uncultured bacterium. Its description in RNAcentral is "partial 16S ribosomal RNA". It matches the Rfam family "Bacterial small subunit ribosomal RNA", at positions 524 to 776 of the family's 1533-position model. The record is from RNAcentral.
CCCGUAGGGGGCGAGCGUUGUCCGGAUUUAUUGGGCGUAAAGAGCUCGUAGGCGGCUCAGUAAGUCAGGUGUGAAAACUCCAGGCUCAACCUGGAGACGCCACCUGAUACUGCUGUGGCUAGAGUCCGGUAGGGGAGCAUGGAAUUCCUGGUGUAGCGGUGAGAUGCGCAGAUAUCAGGAGGAACACCAGUGGCGAAGGCGGUGCUCUGGGCCGGAACUGACGCUGAGGAGCGAAAGCGUGGGGAGCAAACAGG